GACGAACGCUGGCGGCGUGCUUAACACAUGCAAGUCGAACGAAGAGCGACGGAAGCUUGCUUCUAUCAAUCUUAGUGGCGAACGGGUGAGUAACGCGUAAUCAACCUGCCCUUCAGAGGGGGACAACAGUUGGAAACGACUGCUAAUACCGCAUACGAUCUAAUCUCGGCAUCGAGGAUAGAUGAAAGGUGGCCUCUACAUGUAAGCUAUCACUGAAGGAGGGGAUUGCGUCUGAUUAGCUAGUUGGAGGGGUAACGGCCCACCAAGGCGAUGAUCAGUAGCCGGUCUGAGAGGAUGAACGGCCACAUUGGGACUGAGACACGGCCCAGACUCCUACGGGAGGCAGCAGUGGGGAAUCUUCCGCAAUGGACGAAAGUCUGACGGAGCAACGCCGCGUGAGUGAUGACGGCCUUCGGGUUGUAAAGCUCUGUUAAAUCGGGGACGAAAAGCCUUUCUUGCGAAAUAGUG
Molecule: ribosomal RNA, 468 nt
Filed under: Veillonella parvula
Lineage: Bacteria; Bacillati; Bacillota; Negativicutes; Veillonellales; Veillonellaceae
Description: bacterial SSU rRNA
Rfam family: Bacterial small subunit ribosomal RNA
Source: RNAcentral